Molecule: ribosomal RNA, 421 nt
Filed under: uncultured bacterium
Lineage: Bacteria
Description: bacterial SSU rRNA
Rfam family: Bacterial small subunit ribosomal RNA
Source: RNAcentral
UAAGGAAUAUUGGUCAAUGGACGCAAGUCUGAACCAGCCAUGCCGCGUGAAGGAUGAAGGUCCUCUGGAUUGUAAACUUCUUUUAUCUGGGACGAAAACGGGAUUUUUAUCUCAAUUGACGGUACCAGAGGAAUAAGCACCGGCUAACUCCGUGCCAGCAGCCGCGGUAAUACGGAGGGUGCGAGCGUUAUCCGGAUUUACUGGGUUUAAAGGGUGCGUAGGUGGGCUUAUAAGUCAGUGGUGAAAUCUCCGAGCUUAACUUGGAAACUGCCGUUGAUACUAUAGGUCUUGAAUUAUCUGGAGGUAAGCGGAAUAUGUCAUGUAGCGGUGAAAUGCUUAGAUAUGACAUAGAGCACCAAUUGCGAAGGCAGCUUACUACAUAUAAAUUGACGCUGAGGCACGAAAGCGUGGGGAUCAAACA